CGUAGGUGGCAAGCGUUGUCCGGAUUUUACUGGGCGUAAAGGGAGCGUAGGUGGAUAUUUAAGUGGGAUGUGAAAUACUCGGGCUUAACCUGAGUGCUGCAUUCCAAACUGGAUAUCUAGAGUGCAGGAGAGGAAAGUAGAAUUCCUAGUGUAGCGGUGAAAUGCGUAGAGAUUAGGAAGAAUACCAGUGGCGAAGGCGACUUUCUGGACUGUAACUGACACUGAGGCUCGAAAGCGUGGGAGCAAACAGGAUU
This 254-nucleotide ribosomal RNA is filed under the name uncultured bacterium. RNAcentral's name for it is "partial 16S ribosomal RNA". It matches the Rfam family "Bacterial small subunit ribosomal RNA", at positions 526 to 779 of the family's 1533-position model. The record is from RNAcentral.